CCUACGGGAGUCAGCAGUAGGGAAUCUUUCACAAUGGGCGAAAGCCUGAUGGAGCAACGCCGCGUGCAGGAUGAAGGCCUUCGGGUUGUAAACUGCUUUUAUAAGCGAGAAAUAUGAUGGUAACUUAUGAAUAAGGAUCGGCUAACUACGUGCCAGCAGCCGCGGUCAUACGUAGGAUCCGAGCAUUAUCCGGAGUGACUGGGUGUAAAGAGUUGCGUAGGUGGCAUAAUAAGUAGCUAGUGAAAUCUGGUGGCUCAACCAUUCAGACUAUUAGCUAAACUGUUAAGCUCGAGACCGUUAGGGGUAACUGGAAUUUCUAGUGUAGGAGUGAAAUCCGUAGAUAUUAGAAGGAACACCAAUAGCGUAGGCAGGUUGCUGGGACGGUUCUGACACUAAGGCACGAAAGCGUAGGGAGCAAACGGGAUUAGAUACCCGAGUAGUC
Molecule: ribosomal RNA, 442 nt
Filed under: uncultured bacterium
Lineage: Bacteria
Description: partial 16S ribosomal RNA
Rfam family: Bacterial small subunit ribosomal RNA
Source: RNAcentral